This 58-nucleotide transfer RNA is filed under the name Salmo salar (Atlantic salmon). It matches the Rfam family "tRNA", at positions 8 to 63 of the family's 71-position model. Rfam says of the family: Transfer RNA (tRNA) molecules are approximately 80 nucleotides in length. Their secondary structure includes four short double-helical elements and three loops (D, anti-codon, and T loops). The record is from Rfam by way of RNAcentral. Lineage: Eukaryota; Metazoa; Chordata; Actinopteri; Salmoniformes; Salmonidae.
UGGGUCAGUUGGUAGAGCAUGGUGUUUGCAACGCCAGGGUUGUGGGUUUGAUUCCCAC